RNAcentral lists this long non-coding RNA (329 nucleotides) under Elaeis guineensis (African oil palm). Its description in RNAcentral is "long non-coding RNA (EGUI_LNC053375)". The record is from RNAcentral. Lineage: Eukaryota; Viridiplantae; Streptophyta; Magnoliopsida; Arecales; Arecaceae.
AUUAAAUAUCAGAUAAUAAAAAUCAGAUCUAAUAGAUCUUAGAUCUAAAAUAUCGAAGGAUAAUUUUUUUUAAAAAUAUUCCGCCCCAGAUCUCAUUAGAUCUGAAAGAUCUUACAAGGAAAAAGGCGAUUUUUCCUUCAGGAGCUCUCCAGGAGGACUUGGCCAUGGGGGAGAGGUCAGGAAGAGGAAAGGAAAGAGGCACGUCAAGUGGACGAUCAAAGUCUCGAAAGAGCAGUAGCAAGAAAGAGGCUCGAUGCUACAAGUGUAAUGAGAUCGGGCACUUCAAGCGAGAUUGUCCACAAUGGAAGAGCAAGAAGGGAGACAAGGGA